RNAcentral lists this ribosomal RNA (468 nucleotides) under uncultured bacterium. RNAcentral describes it as "partial 16S ribosomal RNA". It matches the Rfam family "Bacterial small subunit ribosomal RNA", at positions 28 to 507 of the family's 1533-position model. The record is from RNAcentral.
GACGAACGCUGGCGGCGUGCUUAACACAUGCAAGUCGAACGGAAAGGCCCGGCUUUUGUUGGGUGCUCGAGUGGCGAACGGGUGAGUAACACGUGAGUAACCUGCCCUUGACUUUGGGAUAACUUCAGGAAACUGGGGCUAAUACCGGAUAGGAGCUCCUGCUGCAUGGUGGGGGUUGGAAAGUUUGGGCGGUUGGGGAUGGACUCGCGGCUUAUCAGCUUGUUGGUGGGGUAGUGGCUUACCAAGGCUUUGACGGGUGGCCGGCAUGGGAGGGUGACCGGCCACAUUGGGACUGAGAUACGGCCCAGACUCCUACGUGAGGCAGCAGUGGGGAAUAUUGCACAAUGGGCGGAAGCCUGAGGCAGCAACGCCGCGUGCGGGAUGACGGCCUUCGGGUUGUAAACCGCUUUCGCCUGUGACGAAGCGUGAGUGACGGUAAUGGGUAAAGAAGCACCGGCUAACUACGUG